CAAGUCAAAGAAAUAGUUCAGGGUUUCAAUAUACACGUUGCCCCUGUUGAAUAGCCUUUUAGUUGGGUUAGUACCAAAAAUCGUUGUUUAGCUCGGUUAGGUGAGAUAGUCCGAGUAAAGGUAGUUAGACUCGCUUCCUGAAUAAAAAAAAGUAUUGCCUUAGACCCAAAAGCAAAAGCCAAGCCAGGAAAGUCAUCAGCCUUAAGUAAAAUAGGUCUAGUCAAUUUUACACAUGGGUGGAACGAAAAGUCUCAUGAUUGGAACGAUCGGUCGAUCGAUAUCGUAUGGAAAGAGGAACAAGAGAAGAACGAAGCCCUACAUCGGUGUCUGUCGGGGUAUUGAGAAUGUGGUAUUGCUUCACGCGGUCUCAGUCUCAGUAGGACAAGGAGUACCUUGCUUCGAUAUGAGUUGAGAAGUAUCCGGGGAAGUCCCCUAUAAGGCUAGUCCCGUUUCACUCUUCUCUCAAUGUCAGUGCUUGGGGAUCGGGUACAGCGAGAUCAUUUUUCAGCUUGUUAGUCUGCUAUGCAUGAAAGCAAGGAGGAGAGAAGCUCUCUUUCUUCUUCGAGAAUCCAGUAUGUGAGAUAUUUUUAUACAAGGUCUCACAUGUAGAGAUGCCCUACCCAUAAAGGAAGGAGUUGGUAGUAGACAAAUCAUUC
RNAcentral lists this long non-coding RNA (656 nucleotides) under Elaeis guineensis (African oil palm). Its description in RNAcentral is "long non-coding RNA (EGUI_LNC075050)". The record is from RNAcentral. Lineage: Eukaryota; Viridiplantae; Streptophyta; Magnoliopsida; Arecales; Arecaceae.